GAUGAACGCUGGCGGCGUGCCUAAUACAUGCAAGUCGAGCGAACAGACGAGGAGCUUGCUCCUCUGACGUUAGCGGCGGACGGGUGAGUAACACGUGGAUAACCUACCUAUAAGACUGGGAUAACUUCGGGAAACCGGAGCUAAUACCGGAUAAUAUAUUGAACCGCAUGGUUCGAUAGUGAAAGACGGUUUUGCUGUCACUUAUAGAUGGAUCCGCGCCGCAUUAGCUAGUUGGUAAGGUAACGGCUUACCAAGGCGACGAUGCGUAGCCGACCUGAGAGGGUGAUCGGCCACACUGGAACUGAGACACGGUCCAGACUCCUACGGGAGGCAGCAGUAGGGAAUCUUCCGCAACGGGCGAAAGCCUGACGGAGCAACGCCGCGUGAGUGAUGAAGGUCUUCGGAUCGUAAAACUCUGUUAUUAGGGAAGAACAAAUGUGUAAGUAACUAUGCACGUCUUGACGGUACCUAAUCAGAAAGCCACGGCUAACUACGUG
Molecule: ribosomal RNA, 497 nt
Filed under: uncultured bacterium
Lineage: Bacteria
Description: partial 16S ribosomal RNA
Rfam family: Bacterial small subunit ribosomal RNA
Source: RNAcentral